Molecule: ribosomal RNA, 252 nt
Filed under: uncultured bacterium
Lineage: Bacteria
Description: partial 16S ribosomal RNA
Rfam family: Bacterial small subunit ribosomal RNA
Source: RNAcentral
UACGGAGGAUGCGAGCGUUAUCCGGAUUUAUUGGGUUUAAAGGGUGCGUAGGCGGAUCGUUAAGUCAGUGGUCAAAUUGAGGGGCUCAACCCCUUCCCGCCAUUGAAACUGGCGAUCUUGAGUGGAAGAGAAGUAUGCGGAAUGCGUGGUGUAGCGGUGAAAUGCAUAGAUAUCACGCAGAACCCCGAUUGCGAAGGCAGCAUGCCGGCUUCCUACUGACGCUGAAGCACGGAAGCGUGGGGAUCGAACAGG